AUGGUGCUGACGGUGGAUGUGGCCAGGCCGGCUCCCUGGGGCCUCCGUAUCACAAGGGGCAGGGAUUUUCACACCCUAUCACGGUGACCAAGGUGGCUGAGCAGGGCAAAGCCAAGGCUGCUGACCUCCAGCCUGGAUACGUCAUCGUGGCCAUCAACCGGGAAAGCGCGGAGGGAAUGCUGCACGCCGAGACCCAGAGCAAGAUCCGCCAGAGCCGCUCACCCCUGCGGUGGCAGCGGACGGUCUCAGGCUGCAUCUCCAGGGCAGACCAAUGGGGACGGCUCCUUGGAAGUGUUGGCGACUCGCUUCCAGGGCUCCGUGAGGACACACACUGAGAGUCAGUCCUCCCAAAGGUCCUCCUACUCCAGCCCAGCCUCCCUCAGCCCGAGGGCCGGCAGCCCCUGCCCCCCGCCACCCGCCAGCAGCCCCCUGGCUGGAGAGGCGGCCGCCGGCCGCAGCUUCCAGAGUGUUUCGUGUUCCCCGGGCCGCCCCGCCGCUGACUGCCUGUCCCGGAAGCCAACUCGGCGGUGCCGGUGCUGCCGCCUUCCCCGGCCCUGGCCGUUGUUCCUCCAGGCCCAGCGUGAGCUCGGAAGGGGGCAGCCUCCUCCUGGACGAGGACUCGGAAGUCUUCAAGAUGCUGCAGGAAAAUCGUGAGGGACGGGCGGCCCCCCGACAGUCCAGCUCCUUUCGGCUCUUGCAGGAAGCCCUGGAGGCUGAGGAGAAAGGUGGCAUGCCAGCCUUCCUGCCCAGCUUGCUGGGCCCUCAGUCCUCCCUGCCCGCCUCCAGGGCCCUGGCCGCCCCGCCACGCUCCACACCUGUGAGAAGUGCAGCACCAGCAUCGCGAACCAGGCCGUGCGCAUCCAGGAGGGCUGGUACCGCCACCCCGGCUGCUGCACCUGCCCCGACUGUGGGCUGAACCUGAAGAUGCGUGGACACUUCUGGGUGGGCCAGGAGCUGUACUGUGAGAAGCUCGCCCGCCAGCGCUACUCUGCACCCACUACCCUCAGCUCUGGGGCCUGAGCCCGCCAAGCCCUCAGCCUGCUGCACUGCUGGGCCAGGGUCAUGCCCAUACAAGGUGGCAUGGCAGGUGCAAUGGUGGGCGGUUGCUCUUACGUGAGCUAAGUUUGGGGACCUGAGGCCCCUUUGUCUUCACUGGGUGGGACAAGGUCUGGGACCUGUCUUGGGCUGUGGGAGCCUCACCCUCACCCUGUCAGGACCCUCUCCCCUGCAGGACUGGCACUGUGCUAGUCUGAGGUGGCCGCUGCCUUUGAUCAACCUUUGUGUGCCAGGGUGUAAGCAGGGUGGAACAGAAGUGGGAAAGAGAUGGGUGGGCCAGGGGCUAAUGGUGUCACUGUGUGAAGUUUUUGACAUAUGAGCUCUAUAAACGUAUGAAUAUGGACAAAA
Molecule: RNA transcript, 1404 nt
Organism: Sapajus apella (tufted capuchin)
Lineage: Eukaryota; Metazoa; Chordata; Mammalia; Primates; Cebidae
Gene name: PDZ and LIM domain protein 2-like
Exons: 1
Source: RefSeq, a predicted model, not a curated record